CCCUAGUAACGGCGAGUGAAGCGCAACAGCUCAAAUUUGAAAGCUGGCUCUCGGGCCCGCAUUGUAAUUUGCAGAGGAUGCUUCUGGCGACGCGCCUUCCGAGUUCCCUGGAACGGGACGCCAUAGAGGGUGAGAGCCCCGUCCGGUCGUGCGCCUAGCCUCUGUGAAGCUCCUUCGACGAGUCGAGUAGUUUGGGAAUGCUGCUCAAAAUGGGAGGUAUACGUCUUCUAAAGCUAAAUACCGGCCAGAGACCGAUAGCGCACAAGUAGAGUGAUCGAAAGAUGAAAAGCACUUUGAAAAGAGAGUUAAAAAGUACGUGAAAUUGUUGAAAGGGAAGCGCUCAUGACCAGACUUGGGCUGGCCCGAUCAUGCGGCGUUCUCGCCGGUGCACUCGGCCGCCCAGGCCAGCAUCACUUUCGCCGGGGGAUAAAGGCGGCGGGAAUGUGGCUCCCUCGGGAGUGUUAUAGCCCGCCGUGCAAUACCCUGGUGGGGGCUGAGGUUCGCGCGUAUGCACGGAUGCUGGCGUAAUGGUUAUCAGCGACCCGUCUUGAAACACGGACCAA
RNAcentral lists this ribosomal RNA (563 nucleotides) under Trichothecium roseum. RNAcentral describes it as "eukaryotic LSU rRNA". It matches the Rfam family "Eukaryotic large subunit ribosomal RNA", at positions 78 to 669 of the family's 3401-position model. Lineage: Eukaryota; Fungi; Ascomycota; Sordariomycetes; Hypocreales. The record is from RNAcentral.